Molecule: ribosomal RNA, 420 nt
Filed under: Salmonella enterica
Lineage: Bacteria; Pseudomonadati; Pseudomonadota; Gammaproteobacteria; Enterobacterales; Enterobacteriaceae
Also listed under: 1 other name
Description: bacterial SSU rRNA
Rfam family: Bacterial small subunit ribosomal RNA
Source: RNAcentral
UUAGGCCGGGAACUCAAAGGAGACUGCCAGUGAUAAACUGGAGGAAGGUGGGGAUGACGUCAAGUCAUCAUGGCCCUUACGACCAGGGCUACACACGUGCUACAAUGGCGCAUACAAAGAGAAGCGACCUCGCGAGAGCAAGCGGACCUCAUAAAGUGCGUCGUAGUCCGGAUUGGAGUCUGCAACUCGACUCCAUGAAGUCGGAAUCGCUAGUAAUCGUGGAUCAGAAUGCCACGGUGAAUACGUUCCCGGGCCUUGUACACACCGCCCGUCACACCAUGGGAGUGGGUUGCAAAAGAAGUAGGUAGCUUAACCUUCGGGAGGGCGCUUACCACUUUGUGAUUCAUGACUGGGGUGAAGUCGUAACAAGGUAACCGUAGGGGAACCUGCGGUUGGAUCACCUCCUUACCUGAAAGAAGC